CCUACGGGAGGCAGCAGUGGGGAAUAUUGGACAAUGGGGGCAACCCUGAUCCAGCCAUGCCGCGUGUGUGAAGAAGGCCCUCGGGUUGUAAAGCACUUUCAGUGAGGAAGAACGCCUGGUGGUUAAUACCCAUCAGGAAAGACAUCACUCACAGAAGAAGCACCGGCUAACUCCGUGCCAGCAGCCGCGGUAAUACGGAGGGUGCGAGCGUUAAUCGGAAUUACUGGGCGUAAAGCGCGCGUAGGUGGCUUGAUAAGCCGGUUGUGAAAGCCCCGGGCUCAACCUGGGAACGGCAUCCGGAACUGUCAAGCUAGAGUGCAGGAGAGGAAGGUAGAAUUCCCGGUGUAGCGGUGAAAUGCGUAGAGAUCGGGAGGAAUACCAGUGGCGAAGGCGGCCUUCUGGACUGACACUGACACUGAGGUGCGAAAGCGUGGGUAGCAAACAGGAUUAGAUACCCUGAUAGUC
Molecule: ribosomal RNA, 465 nt
Filed under: Vreelandella stevensii
Lineage: Bacteria; Pseudomonadati; Pseudomonadota; Gammaproteobacteria; Oceanospirillales; Halomonadaceae
Description: partial 16S ribosomal RNA
Rfam family: Bacterial small subunit ribosomal RNA
Source: RNAcentral